GAUGAACGCUAGCGAUAGGCCUAACACAUGCAAGUCGAGGGGCAUCACAUGAAGUAGCAAUACGGAUGGUGGCGACCGGCGCACGGGUGAGUAACACGUAUGCAACCUGCCUCAUAGAGAGGAAUAGCCUCCCGAAAGGGAGAUUAAUACCUCAUAACAUUGCAGUUUCGCAUGGAACAGCAAUUAAAGGAGUAAUCCGCUAUGAGAUGGGCCCGCGGCGCAUUAGCUAGUUGGUGAGGUAACGGCCCACCAAGGCGACGAUGCGUAGCUGAGCUGAGAGGCUAAACAGCCACACUGGGACUGAGACACGGCCCAGACUCCUACGGGAGGCAGCAGUAGGGAAUUUUCGGCAAUGGGGGAAACCCUGACCGAGCAAUGCCGCGUGAACGAUGAAGGUCUUCGGAUUGUAAAGUUC
Molecule: ribosomal RNA, 415 nt
Filed under: uncultured bacterium
Lineage: Bacteria
Description: bacterial SSU rRNA
Rfam family: Bacterial small subunit ribosomal RNA
Source: RNAcentral